UUGUGGUUAAAAAGCUCGUAGUUGGAUCUCGGCGGACUGAGGGCGGUUUGCUUGCUAGUAUUACUGCCCUAUAGUCCGUAGUUUUGCCAGAGGUUUCGGGGUGCUCUUAAUCGAGUGUCCCGGGAUGCUGGCAGGUUUACUUUGAAAAAAUUAGAGUGCUCAAAGCAGGCUAUUACGCCUGAAUAUUCGUGCAUGGAAUAAUAGAAUAGGAAGUCGUUUCUAUUUUGUUGGUUCUCGGAAAUCGACUUAAUGAUUAAUAGGGACAGUCGGGGGCAUUUGUAUUCAAACGACAGAGGUGAAAUUCUUGGACCGUUUGAAGACAAACUACUGCGAAAGCAUUUGCCAAGAAUGUUUUCAUUAAUCAAGAACGAAAGUUAAAGGUUCGAAGGCGAUUAGAUACCGCCCUAGUUUUAACCAUGAGCGAUGCCAGCUAGCGAUCUGCGGACGUUUUUUUUGUAGACUCCGCAGGAAGCUUCCGGGAAACCAAAGCAUUUGGGUUCCAGGGGAAGUAUGGUUGCAAAGCUGAAACUUAAAGGAAUUGACGGAAGGGCACCACCAGGAGUGGAGCCUGUGGCUUGAUUUGACUCAACA
RNAcentral lists this ribosomal RNA (591 nucleotides) under uncultured marine eukaryote. Its description in RNAcentral is "SSU rRNA". It matches the Rfam family "Eukaryotic small subunit ribosomal RNA", at positions 613 to 1205 of the family's 1831-position model. The record is from RNAcentral.